AGGCAGCAAAUCGAAAAAAGAUGGCUGCAAAGGUGUUGUCCACAUUCCGGCAGAUGGGGCUCCAUAGCCCAUGGGCUGAAGAGCACUGUCCUGUAUUCCAUUGCUGCUACAGGAUAACACAGCGCCAGAAGCCAGAAGUAUCCCCUCUCCGCAGCCAUGAUGGGAACUCGAAACCAAUUCAGUGCGCAGGAAAGAAAGUGUAUUACAACACUAGAGUGGCUCCCACCCCUAUGACUCCACUGAGGUCAGCCAGAGAAAAGGUGAUGCGAAAGGCUGGGACAGCCGCUGCCGGUCCAUACAGACAAUGCCGACCAUGAUCUAAUUCAAGAUCAGGCAGGUUCAUGCGCACCAAAUGGUACAUCGUGGCACAGUAAGGCAUGGUCAGUUUCAAAACAUCAUCGAGUCCCUCUGUGUAUCCAAAGAACCACCUGCUCCCAUAUAAAUGUACUUCAACAUUAAGGUUUUCAACAGAGUGCCAACUACUGAGGACUGGAUUUAUAAAUUGCUGUACAUGGCGGAAAUGGACAAAAUGACAAGGAAACUGAGAGACCUUGAUCCAGGACAGUUUAACACGGAUUGGGAGAAGCUGAAACAAUAUUUAGUGAAGAAAUGGGAGGAGAACUGUGGCAGUUUGAAAAUUACUGAAAUACAAUAAAAGUAGAGGGAGGUGACUUUACCGGGGGGCGGAGAGUUAAAUGAGAAUUUCUAAGCAAUCAUUUUAUUAGACUAUUAUAUAUAGCAUUAAGUAUUAUAGGUGUUAUUAUAAGAAUUAUAAUGAUAGAAAUUAACUAACUAUAAGGAUAGAAACUAAUUUCAUUUCUGGCAAUAAUCGUAUAAUGGAGAUAAUUUUAUAAUUGCAAUGAAGAAAUUUAAGCAAGGUGGGAAAAUAUAUAUUAAUGUAUAGAUCAUGUAUUAAAUUGAUUGACGUAGUUUGGAGGUAUAUAUGGGUCAAAUUGGUUGACUAUUUUUGGUGGAUAGUUGCAUAAUGGAAGAAUUAUAUAAUUAUAUAAUUAAAACAGUACGAAGAUAAGAUAUGUAGAAAAAGUAAUAUAUAGAGUAUAAGUUAAAUUGGUUGACUUAUAUUGAAUGUACUGUUUAUAGAAGUAUCUAAAAUUAUGCUAAAUGAGGGAUAAAUUGUUUGUCCCAUAUUGAAGAUGAGAUUAUAAGAUAGAGUAUAGAGUACCAAAAUUAGCUAAAUGAUUAUUAUUAAAAGAAAAUAUGCCAAGAAUGUAUUAUUUAGUUAUGCAUUAUUUAGUUGUUAAAGUAAGUAGGAAGACAGAAGGAGCACUGUGUUAUA
This is a long non-coding RNA of Eublepharis macularius, 1297 nucleotides long. RefSeq lists it as uncharacterized. The record is from RefSeq and is a predicted model, not a curated record. Lineage: Eukaryota; Metazoa; Chordata; Lepidosauria; Squamata; Eublepharidae. The transcript has 3 exons.